Molecule: long non-coding RNA, 2796 nt
Organism: Leopardus geoffroyi (Geoffroy's cat)
Lineage: Eukaryota; Metazoa; Chordata; Mammalia; Carnivora; Felidae
Exons: 2
Source: RefSeq, a predicted model, not a curated record
GUGAAUGCUACCAUCCCGCUGAUCAGAAAACACGUCCCUUUUAUUUAGCGCUUUGCGUUUAUAAAGGUCUUUACCUGCACCAUCUCAUUUGAAUAGUCGUUCAGCAACAAAAAUUUACUGAGCAUCUAUGAAACACCAAGCACUGUGCUGCAUGUUGGGGAUAUAGCCACAGACAAGCUGACAAGAUGCCUGCCCUCAUUACGGCCAUAUAAGGAUGUCACUGGUGCGAGACUCCCACAAAUGUCAACUGACUGGUGACAAAGGGAUGGAAUAUAGCCCUACAUAGGCUGAUGAGAGUGGAUAAUGGGGAACUGACCUGGUUCGGCAGGUGUGAUGACUGACUAAGACCUCAAAGAGAAAUGGAGUCCAUUAGGUUAAAGGGAAAGGGGUGAAGAAGAACAUUCCAGCAGACGGAAGAGUCUGUACAAAGGCCCUAAGGCAGCAGAGAACCCGGAGAGGCAAACAAGAAUAUAUUCACCUAAUCCCCACUUUAUAGAAAAAGGACUAAGACCCAGAGAACCACAAGGCAGAACCAGGACUGGGCCGAGCUCUGGUCACAAAGCUUAAACCCUAGCUUUGUGAAACUCGAUGGAAUCUUCAAAGCCCCCAGGGUCCCCUUCCCAGCCCCUGCCACGGGUCUAGCUCAGGCUGGGCUGGGCAUGUGGGUGGAGACGGCAGGAGGGUGGGGGGCAGGGCUGUUCUCACAAGGACUUGCAGGCCUGCAAGGAAAUGGCACCACGUGAUUGCCCAAGUUGGGGCAAUGAACUUGGACUUGGGGGAGGUGGUCAGCCAUCAGGCCCCAUGAGCUGUCAUGGUGGCAGAGUCGAUCUGAUCCUCUAUGGUAUUGGGUCAAGCACCACAGGGGUGGUUUUCCAAAGAACAGGUCAACCCUGCCAGGCAGAGGCCAGCACACCUCCGGAGGAGCCAUGUGGAACCCUGCCCCAGCCAGCAGGGAGGAAAGACAGGCUCCUCAGCCCUGACCAGGGCAUUUGAGCCAGACUGUCAGUUCACACAGCUGGUAUUUGUCAUGCUCUAAGAAGGGAUGUGAACAUGUGGCAGUCACUGGCUCGUGCCACCGGGAGGCCCCCAGUGGCUCUCUCAACACCUUGCUGUGUCUUCAUCACAGCGCUCGUCACCACCGGAAAUUAUCCCACGUGGCAACAUGUCUGCUGUCUGUCUGUCUGUCCAGGAGACGGCACAUCCCGUGAGGACGGAGCCCGUCCGUGCCCACCUUCUCAGAAGCUGGCACUCACUCAGCCAGGCUCAUUCCCAUCGCCCAGCACGUGAGCUCCGGAGCCUAAAUGCAGUCCAGGAAGGGGUGCUGAAACCAGGACGGCAAUCACAGAUACACAGAAGGAGAAGCAGCCUGACAGGUGACGCCACGUGGGGGCUGAGAGAGAUACAAGGUCCUAGUUCUCACCUAGGUUCCUGGUUAUGACUCCUGAUUCCACAGUGAUUCCAUAAUGACUCCACAGUGGUUAAAAAAAAAAAACCAUAAAAUUGGUCACAGUCAGCAAUGCCUUGUGUAGUGGAGACUGUGGGGCUUCCUCCCACGGCUCUCUGGUUCAAGAUACUCUGCCCCCAGAAGCUGAGUCCCUUCCUAGGAACUGCUCAGCCUAAGGGAGGGUCUUGCCCCAAGUCGCACACCGCCCUCCCCCAGAGACAGCUGUGUCUAAUGGUGGGUCCAUGUGGAGCUACAAAGACCUGGCCCCCUUGCCUGAAUUGAAGACAGGUCUGAAGGGACAUUCCAGACUCAGAGCCACCCCCACCCCCCACCCCGUGUCACUGGCUGAGGCCUCUGUUGCAAUUGAGCCACUCCCUCCGUCUGCUGCUGCUUCUCAGAGCUGAUCCCAGGAGUUCCCUCCAAUAAUCCUCCUGCAUGCAAAUCUCAGAGUUGCUUUUCCAGGAAGCCCAACCCAAGAUGCCUCCCAAGAUGCACCUUGGAAGCCAAGGAAACCCAACCGGGAUCCCAAUUUUGGGUCAGUGUCCUUGGCUUCCAGUCAACCUGUUUCACUGAGACUUGGAGAGCGUUCUUGUUCCUGGCUAGAAAUGGCCAUGUGCUGGUUAAGGAUGUUGCUGGCUCUCGAGCUGGGCUGCCGGAGUUCAAAUCCCAGCUCCACUCUCCCUAGCUACAGGGCCCCAAGCAAGGCUUCUUUUCUGGACAGGAUUUCCAUUCCCAAAAUGGAAUGUCUCCCAGGAUGUGGAGUAUCACAGACGUCAAUACACAGAAGUCUUCAGAACACGACCCUGCGCUCUGCACGAGUCCCUGACCCAUCAGCCCUCAGCCGCUGCUGAUCUCACAAGGUGCACACUCGUCCUCUCUCUCGUGGGGACCACAGUGUGCAGGUCUGCGGCCCAGCAAGCCCAGCAGAGCCUGGCCCCGAUGUGGAUCGCUGGGUGGACGGGCAAAUGGGGGCAUGCCUGUCUGCACUUGGAUGGGGGCUCCCUUUCUCCCACCUUGCCUAGCCUUCUAGAAGCUUUCAGAAUGAGGGACCCUGAGCAGAUGGAAGACACUGUUAUUAUCUAAACUGUCUGAAACUUGCUUGCCACUAAUUCAGAUCAACCAGGGACACACCAUUUCCAUAAAUCAACCAAGCACACAAUAGGCCCACCCAGCAAAGCAUAAGAUGACAAUAAUAAUCAUGUGUAUUUAUGCAGUGCUUUUGUUCUGCGAAGCUCCAAACAGUUGACAAUCAUUAUUCCUGUUAAUACUACAGCCGUCUCGGAGAGGCGGGCAGCGAACAGGCGCCUCUCCCCUUGAACAGGCAGGAAAAUAAUACUGAUAGUAACAGUGAA